This 497-nucleotide ribosomal RNA is filed under the name uncultured bacterium. Its description in RNAcentral is "partial 16S ribosomal RNA". It matches the Rfam family "Bacterial small subunit ribosomal RNA", at positions 28 to 507 of the family's 1533-position model. The record is from RNAcentral.
GAUGAACGCUGGCGGCGUGCCUAAUACAUGCAAGUCGAGCGAACAGACGAGGAGCUUGCUCCUCUGACGUUAGCGGCGGACGGGUGAGUAACACGUGGAUAACCUACCUAUAAGACUGGGAUAACUUCGGGAAACCGGAGCUAAUACCGGAUAAUAUAUUGAACCGCAUGGUUCAAUAGUGAAAGACGGUUUUGCUGUCACUUAUAGAUCGAUCCGCGCCGCAUUAGCUGGUUGGUAAGGUAACAGCUUACCAAGGGAACGAUGCGUAGCCGACCUGAGAGGGUGGUCGGCCACACGGGAACUGAGACACGGUCCAGACUCCUACGGGAGGCAGCAGUAGGGAAUCUUCCGCAAUGGGCGAAAACCUGACGGAGCAACGCCGCGUGAGUGAUGAAGGUCUUAGGAUCGUAAAACGCUGUUAUUAGUGGAGAACAAAUGUGUAAGUAACGAUGCACGUCUUGACGGUACCUAAUCAGGAAGCCACGGCUAACUACGUG